This 484-nucleotide ribosomal RNA is filed under the name uncultured bacterium. RNAcentral's name for it is "partial 16S ribosomal RNA". It matches the Rfam family "Bacterial small subunit ribosomal RNA", at positions 28 to 523 of the family's 1533-position model. The record is from RNAcentral.
GAUGAACGCUGGCGGCGUGCUUAACACAUGCAAGUCGAACGGUGAAGCAGGAGCUUGCUCUUGUGGAUCAGUGGCGAACGGGUGAGUAACACGUGAGCAACCUGCCCCUGACUCUGGGAUAAGCGCUGGAAACGGCGUCUAAUACUGGAUAUGUGAUGUGACCGCAUGGUCUGCAUCUGGAAAGAAUUUCGGUUGGGGAUGGGCUCGCGGCCUAUCAGCUUGUUGGUGAGGUAAUGGCUCACCAAGGCGUCGACGGGUAGCCGGCCUGAGAGGGUAACCGGCCACACUGGGACUGAGACACGGCCCAGAGUCCUACGGGAGGCAGCAGUGAGGAAUAUUGCACAAUGGGCGGAAGCCUGAUGCAGCAACGCCGCGUGAGGGAUGACGGCCUUCGGGUUGUAAACCUCUUUUAGCAGGGAAGAAGCGAAAGUGACGGUACCUGCAGAAAAAGCACCGGCUAACUACGUGCCAGCCGCCGCGGUAA